GCCUUUCCCUAUCCACAGGGGCUGUUCCAUGAUGGGGUCAAGAUUUGGGUCACCCACCCGUGGUCCGGGGAGAAGUGACUCGCCCAAGGUCACAAGGCCACCACCAAUAGAGCCAGAAUGAGGUUCCAGGUGGCUUGACUUGGCAGCCAGCGCCUUUGCCUAUGGCACCCCCUCACCCCAGCUGUCUGGGUUAUUUUGGGCUUCCUCCCAUGCCAGCUGUCUGCUGGCAUCCCUGCCCAGGACUGUCUGGUUGGAAGUAACCGGCGUGGUGCUGUUGGCUCCUUCUGUGAGGGCCAGGGCUGGGUCUUCAAUCCCCUAUGAGCUGUGCUGGGUCCAGCUCCUUUGCUGGGAGGGAAGAGUGUUCCUGCCCAGACUCCCUGCCGCCCAAGUACAGCAAGAGGGCGAAAGCACCUGAUAAAAAUUGAGGUUCACAUUGUUAAUAUCCCAAAAGCCUCUUCUUCUAUACACCCUGAAACCUGUUUUAAAUUUGGCUCUGCCAUUGAACCCCCUUGCUCUCACGUGACCCUUUGCCACCCGAGGGUGUGGCGCCUCCCUUUAGAGUCCUCGUUGCUCUCCGGGUGGGGUCUUUACUCCCCACCUGCUUUGGAUAAUUAAGUAAUUGAUGUACGUCUCCCUCCCAGCUGCACCCUGGAGGGCUCCAGCAGUUUCUCCCCUCCCUGGAUCCUAUCAGGGAGCUGUUGGGUGCUCAGCUGUGGUCUGGAUGUGGUUCUCAGCGCAGUGUCGGGACCCCCUGGCUGGACUGUACCCCUCUCUCUCUGCUUUGGUCCCUCUUCUUUCUUUGUCCCCCUAUCAUCACCUCUUGGGGCAGGGAGGGUGGGGCAGUUUGUCCUCCUGCUGAUGUUCCUGCUGGUCCCUCGAGGGCGCCCCGCCCACCGGUCACCCAGCGAGCGCGGGGCGGGGCCGCUGCUGGCGCCGGGCUCCGGGGCUUGCAGAGAGAGGGCCACGCCAGCGGAAGGGCCGGCCAGGAGGUGGCAGGACUUGCCUUACUACUGAGUCGCCGGCGUCCCCGCCUCUUCCGGCUCCUCCGCCCGGAGCCCUAGCGUGGAACAUGACCUUUCGGACCCUCUGGGUGGAGACAGCCUCUGCCUGGGCUGUGCAGUGAGGCAGCCCCACCAUGUCAGGUCGUUUGGCCCAGUGCGUCUCUAGCUGGCAUGUGACUUCCAGCAAGCUCCUGCCCCUGAGCGCUGGGAGGAGCAGGUCCGGCAAUAAUUUUUUUUAAGACAGAGUUUCGCUCUUGUUGCCCAGGCAAUGGUGCGAUCUGGGCUCACCGCAACCUCCGCCUCCAGGGUUCAAGUGAUUAUCCUGCCUCAGCCUCCGAGUAGCUGGGAUUACAGGCAUACGCCACCACGCCCAGAUAAUUUUGUAUUUUUAGUAGAGACAGGGUUUCACCAUGUUGGGCAGGCUGGUCUCGAACUGACCUCAGGUGAUCCGCCUACCUCGGCCUUCCAAAGUGCUGGGAUUACAGGCGUGAGCCACUGCGCCCGGCCGGACAAUAAUGUUUUGAGCUGUUGCUGAGUCUGGCUUUUGUGAGGGGAACUUUUAGCACUCAAGGAGUGGCCUUGUCUCUGGCCCGUCCCGGAGUGCUCAUGGGCAGCCAAGGCCUGGGGACUGCUCAGGCAGGGUAGAUGUAUUUGCCAGGCCAGCUCCCGUCCCUGGGACCUCAGGGAGUAGCUUCAUCCCUGAAGGCUCAGUGUUUUCUGCCUCAUGUGGCCCCUCUGCAGGGUUCUCAGUCAUCCAGGGAAGUGGGUGCCACAGCGUUGCCUCCAGCCUCACUGGGGCUGGCUGGACUUUGCUCUGACAACACAGCAGUGGCUGGGCCCCUGCAGCUCUCCAGGGCUCAGUUUCCCUGUUGGCUGCACUAUGGCAUAGGCCCCCAUGUGGACAACGAUGAGCUGACCCCAGAAAUACCACCCGGCCGCUCCCCUAGGCUUCAGUGGCCUAACAGCUCUUGUGUCAAGAACCAGCUUAAAGAAUCUUUCUUGCUUUCUCAAACUUUCCAGGAAUUCCUGGUGACUGGAAGGGGAGUGACUCGGGUCCUCAAUCUUUUGCAGGUAAGGGAGCUGCCUCCUGGGCGGGCAUGCCCAGUUCCUCAGUAGGCCCAGCGUGGCCCAGCCUCCGAGGAAGCUCUGAGCAGCUGGCUUGGCUCUGAGGUAUUUUUAGCUACAGAUCCAGCUCCCCACCAUCACCACAACAGUCGAGUCCAAAUCAAACGCACUCCAGGCAGGUGGGGCUGGGGUUCUGCCAGCCUCCUGGCCAGCAGGGGUGGGUGGGCAGACUGGGGCCAGUAUCAGCUGUUCUGCCUGGACCCAGGCGGGGCUGGGAAGGCACACUUGUGCUCAUUUCCUGCCUCCACUUCUGUGCAAGCUUGUGCUGUCAUAAGCAGAGAUCACAGCCCCGUUUCUUGGAUGGAGAAAGUGGACAUUGAGGUCUGAGGCUUUUGAGGACAGUCAGGAGCGCUCCUAUGGGCUCCAGUGAUGCACUCACCAGCUUCUGGUCCUCUUCUUCCACCUCUUAGAGUGCCUUGGCUCCCUCCUGUGGUCCUGGGGAACCUCGGCCCCAGCCCUGCCUCCCCAGCCACCCUGAGGGAGCUCAGGGCCUGGCUGGUGGCUGGGCUCCUCUCCUGUCCCCCACUCCUGUGGAGCCUGGCAGGCACCUCCGUGAUCUGACCCCGGUUACCUUGAUAGCCCUGCCUGGCCUCCCCUUAUGGGCCAGCCACCCCAGAACCUGAAGAGGUUUUCUAGCUGCCGUGCAUUUGCCAGGCUGGGUUACCCACCCUACUUUCCCUGCCUGCCCUCCAGUGCUGCCAAGCCCAGUGUGCCAGCCAGCGCUCAGCUUUCCAUAAAGGGUUCUCCUGUUUCCAACCUCCAUUGCACUGCUUCCCCCAAGACUGACCUCCUGGAAGGCUGGAGCACAACUGCCUCUCAAUAAACGUGUUGCAAAAAAGGAA
Molecule: RNA transcript, 2968 nt
Organism: Nomascus leucogenys (northern white-cheeked gibbon)
Lineage: Eukaryota; Metazoa; Chordata; Mammalia; Primates; Hylobatidae
Exons: 1
Source: RefSeq, a predicted model, not a curated record